AACAAACGCUGGCGGCGUGCCUAAUACAUGCAAGUCGAACGGGGAAAGCUUUCGGGUGAGUACUAGUGGCGCACGGGUGAGUAACGCGUGGAUAAUCUGCCUUAGAGUGGGGGAUAACUAGUCGAAAGAUUAGCUAAUACCGCAUAAGACCACAGGAGCUGCGGCUCAAGGGGUCAAAGGUUUUUCGCUUUAAGAUGAGUCCGCGUAAGAUUAGCUAGUUGGUGAGGUAACGGCUCACCAAGGCGACGAUCUUUAACUGGUCUGAGAGGAUGAUCAGUCACACUGGAACUGAGACACGGUCCAGACUCCUACGGGAGGCAGCAGUAGGGAAUAUUGCACAAUGGAGGAAACUCUGAUGCAGCGACGCCGCGUGAGUGAUGAAGGCCUUCGGGUCGUAAAGCUCUGUCGCAGGGGAAUAACACAAUGAAGGUACCCUGUAAGAAAGGAUCGGCUAACUUCGUGCCAGCCGCCGCGGUAA
RNAcentral lists this ribosomal RNA (478 nucleotides) under uncultured bacterium. RNAcentral's name for it is "partial 16S ribosomal RNA". It matches the Rfam family "Bacterial small subunit ribosomal RNA", at positions 29 to 523 of the family's 1533-position model. The record is from RNAcentral.